This 527-nucleotide ribosomal RNA is filed under the name uncultured bacterium. RNAcentral's name for it is "bacterial SSU rRNA". It matches the Rfam family "Bacterial small subunit ribosomal RNA", at positions 982 to 1509 of the family's 1533-position model. The record is from RNAcentral.
CGACAUCCAGAGAACUUAGCAGAGAUGCUUUGGUGCCUUCGGGAACUCUGAGACAGGUGCUGCAUGGCUGUCGUCAGCUCGUGUUGUGAAAUGUUGGGUUAAGUCCCGCAACGAGCGCAACCCUUAUCCUUUGUUGCCAGCGGUUCGGCCGGGAACUCAAAGGAGACUGCCGGUGAUAAACCGGAGGAAGGUGGGGAUGACGUCAAGUCAUCAUGGCCCUUACGGCCAGGGCUACACACGUGCUACAAUGGCGCAUACAAAGAGAAGCGACCUCGCGAGAGCAAGCGGACCUCAUAAAGUGCGUCGUAGUCCGGAUUGGAGUCUGCAACUCGACUCCAUGAAGUCGGAAUCGCUAGUAAUCGUAGAUCAGAAUGCUACGGUGAAUACGUUCCCGGGCCUUGUACACACCGCCCGUCACACCAUGGGAGUGGGUUGCAAAAGAAGUAGGUAGCUUAACCUUCGGGAGGGCGCUUACCACUUUGUGAUUCAUGACUGGGGUGAAGUCGUAACAAGGUAGGCGUAGCGAG